GCACGGACUUUACCGUGCAGGGUGAGAACCUGCUGCAGGUUCGACUGAAUCGCCGGGAGCGAUUCAGGCUGAUGCGACAGCAUCACUCGCAGGGCGAGGCUAUCCUGCACGACCCACCA
RNAcentral lists this small RNA (119 nucleotides) under Pantoea agglomerans. RNAcentral's name for it is "RtT sRNA". It matches the Rfam family "RtT RNA". From Rfam's summary of the family: This family represents a bacterial cis-regulatory element known as RtT RNA. The exact function of RtT is unknown although it is thought that it may be involved in changing the cellular response in relation to amino acid starvation. The record is from RNAcentral. Lineage: Bacteria; Pseudomonadati; Pseudomonadota; Gammaproteobacteria; Enterobacterales; Erwiniaceae.